ACUCCUACGGGAGGCAGCAGUGGGGAAUAUUGCACAAUGGGCGAAAGCCUGAUGCAGCGACGCCGCGUGAGGGAUGACGGCCUUCGGGUUGUAAACCUCUUUCAGCAGGGAAGAAGCGAAAGUGACGGUACCUGCAGAAGAAGGUCCGGCCAACUACGUGCCAGCAGCCGCGGUAAU
RNAcentral lists this ribosomal RNA (177 nucleotides) under uncultured soil bacterium. Its description in RNAcentral is "partial 16S ribosomal RNA". It matches the Rfam family "Bacterial small subunit ribosomal RNA", at positions 335 to 524 of the family's 1533-position model. The record is from RNAcentral.